AGCGAACGCUAGCGGCGGGCCUAACACAUGCAAGUCGAGCGCAUACCUUCGGGUAUGAGCGGCGGACGGGUGAGUAACGCGUAGGUCAUCUACCCUUUGGUGGGGGAUAACCCAGGGAAACUUGGGCUAAUACCGCACGAGGUCCACGGAUCAAAGCCUUCGGGCGCCAGAGGAUGAGCCUGCGUCGCAUUACCUAGUUGGCGGGGUAACGGCCCACCAAGGGGACGAUGCGUAGCUGGUCUGAGAGGAUGAUCAGCCACACUGGGACUGAGACACGGCCCAGACUCCUACGGGAGGCAGCAGUGGGGAAUAUUGCGCAAUGGGGGAAACCCUGACGCAGCCACGCCGCGUGGGUGAUGAAGGCCUCGGGUUGUAAAGCCCUGUCGGGAGGGACGAAUUCUUGACGGUACCUCCAAAGAAAGCACCGGCUAACUCCGUGCCAGCAGCCGCGGUAAU
Molecule: ribosomal RNA, 456 nt
Filed under: uncultured bacterium
Lineage: Bacteria
Description: bacterial SSU rRNA
Rfam family: Bacterial small subunit ribosomal RNA
Source: RNAcentral